Entelurus aequoreus (snake pipefish) is the source of this 1528-nucleotide long non-coding RNA. RefSeq lists it as uncharacterized. The transcript has 4 exons. The record is from RefSeq and is a predicted model, not a curated record. NCBI's taxonomy places the organism in Eukaryota, Metazoa, Chordata, Actinopteri, Syngnathiformes, Syngnathidae.
UAUUAGCAUUCUAAUGUUUUAUGCUAGCUUUUUAACUAAGUUUGUUUGUUUAAAUUCAUGGUUUUGAUACUUAGCUAAUUUUAUAUGUUUAUGUGACACUUACAAUUAGUAGUCACAAUUGUUUUGUAAAAUGAAUGUGUAAAUAGAGUAUCCUAAUUUAGUUUGAGGUAUUUUCAUAUCUAAAGUCACAGUUCAAGUGUAUGUUUCCAAGCUGAAUGCCACAAGACAUGUUAUUCCGCCACGCCAGCAGAGGGAGCACUCCUAUAGGAAAGGAGGAAAAUGGGAGGUGCUUGUUAGUGCUUCCGUGUCUCAGUCAGGUCACACCCUGCGAUGACAACGCAAUCAAGCACUUUGUGUCUCCUUUUUAUUCCUAUAAAACAGCAGGAAGCUGAAUUCAAGCAGAAGGAGGAAGUGUUGCUGGUUCCCAUCAUAACUCAACAAGGACACAAUUAGCGUGGUGAAUGGAAGUGUUGGAGUAGGACAGGUCACAGAGGAUGAGCAGCGCUCGCUCUUGGGCCAGCGUCCGAGUGACAGGAAGUUGGCGGAUCUCCCAGCAGAUGUUCUCCACCGUGGUUCCCUGUGAGGAGAGAACCUUCUUCAUCUGGACUUCACACUACAGAUGAGCGUGACGUGAGCGCAGCUGUCGUCAAGGUAACCGCUGUUGGGCUGGCACUGCGUGUGCACGGGUCCGGGCGGCUCCGGCGUGGAGCACACGCCCCACCGGUGGCACGGCGGCGAGAAGCAGGUGAGGAACUGGUGGCCCACACACCCGUGGCCCCCGGGGCAGGGCGGCGGGGCCCGAGGGUCCGAAGAGGAAGCAGUCGGGAGGAGGCAGGGCCGACGACCGCACAUCACCUGGGGAAAAAAAAGACGCCUGGAAUGUCGGACUUUGCGUGCGACGACUAAACCAAGAACUGUCUUCAAGAUGGCCGACCUUGGAGCAGUGGGCGGAGCCGUCCACGCACUGACAAGCGUUGCAAUCCUCGUCCCAGCGACCGCCGUGAGGAAACUGAAGACCGGCGUGAUGACACGACUUGCCAAGACCCACGACUGCACAUGGCAACGGAGAAGAACGAAGGUCAGGGGUGGUCGCGGCGGAGGCGGUCACAGACACUCACCCUCCCCACAUCCGGCUCCGGCACGUCCGGGAGGACAGAGACAUCGGAAGGCGUGGAUUUGGUCCACGCAGGUGGAGCCUUGGGCGCAGGGGGAGGACUGACACUCGUCCACGUCUGGAAGACACACACACACACACACACACACGCAGGUGUAACUUUGUACAACACCACACCUGUUGUACCGUGACCCUCUCCGUCUCUCACUGAUGACGUCAUGCAAGAUGGCAGCUGUGGCAUGAAUCUUUGUUAUGUAGUCACGGCUUGGACUUUUGGAUCUUUCUUUGGAUUUGGACCAAUCGAGGAAACAUAACAUUACUGACUUAGGGAAGUACCUCCACACUGUGUAUGGCGAUACAGUUAGAAAAAAUCCAGACUUUUUGACACUUAGAAAAAAUUCAGACUUUUUGACA